This 497-nucleotide ribosomal RNA is filed under the name uncultured bacterium. RNAcentral's name for it is "partial 16S ribosomal RNA". It matches the Rfam family "Bacterial small subunit ribosomal RNA", at positions 28 to 507 of the family's 1533-position model. The record is from RNAcentral.
GAUGAACGCUGGCGGCGUGCCUAAUACAUGCAAGUCGAGCGAACAGACGAGGAGCUUGCUCCUCUGACGUUAGCGGCGGACGGGUGAGUAACACGUGGAUAACCUACCUAUAAGACUGGGAUAACUUCGGGAAACCGGAGCUAAUACCGGAUAAUAUAUUGAACCGCAUGGUUCAAUAGUGAAAGACGGUUUUGCUGUCACUUAUAGAUGGAUCCGCGCCGCAUUAGCUAGUUGGUAAGGUAACGGCUUACCAAGGCAACGAUGCGUAGCCGACCUGAGAGGGUGAUCGGCCACACUGGAACUGAGACACGGUCCAGACUCCUACGGGAGGCAGCAGUAGGGAAUCUUCCGCAAUGGGCGAAAGCCUGACGGAGCAACGCCGCGUGAGUGAUGAAGGUCUUCGGAUCGUAAAACUCUGUUAUUAGGGAAGAACAAAUGUGUAAGUAACUAUGCACGUCUUGACGGUACCUAAUCAGAAAUCCACGGCUAACUACGUG